GACGAACGCUGGCGGCGUGCUUAACACAUGCAAGUCGAACGGAAAGGCCUCUUUCGGGGGGUACUCGAGUGGCGAACGGGUGAGUAACACGUGAGUAACCUGCCCUUGACUUUGGGAUAACUUCAGGAAACUGGGGCUAAUACCGGAUAGGAGCUCCUGCUGCAUGGUGGGGGUUGGAAAGUUUCGGCGGUUGGGGAUGGACUCGCGGCUUAUCGGCUUGUUGGUGGGGUAGUGGCUUACCAAGGCUUUGACGGGUAGCCGGCCUGAGAGGGUGACCGGCCAAAUUGGGACUGAGAUCCGGCCCAGACUCCUACGGGAGGCAGCAGUGGGAAUAUUGCACAAUGGGUGGAGGCCUGAUGCAGCAACGCCGUGUGCGGGAUGACGGCCUUCGGGUUGUAAACCGCUUUCGCUCAUGACGAAGCUUUGUGUGACGGUAGUGGGUAAAGAAGCACCGGCUAACUACGUG
RNAcentral lists this ribosomal RNA (466 nucleotides) under uncultured bacterium. RNAcentral describes it as "partial 16S ribosomal RNA". It matches the Rfam family "Bacterial small subunit ribosomal RNA", at positions 28 to 507 of the family's 1533-position model. The record is from RNAcentral.